This 686-nucleotide ribosomal RNA is filed under the name uncultured bacterium. RNAcentral's name for it is "bacterial SSU rRNA". It matches the Rfam family "Bacterial small subunit ribosomal RNA", at positions 32 to 715 of the family's 1533-position model. The record is from RNAcentral.
AACGCUAGCUACAGGCUUAACACAUGCAAGUCGAGGGGUAGCAGGGUAGCAAUACCGCUGACGACCGGCGCACGGGUGAGUAACACGUAUCCAACCUUCCCAUAACUCGGGGAUAGCCUUUCGAAAGAAAGAUUAAUACCCGAUGGUACUUAUAUAAGGCAUCUUAAAUAAGUUAAAGAUUUAUUGGUUAUGGAUGGGGAUGCGUUCCAUUAGAUAGUUGGUGAGGUAACGGCUCACCAAGUCUUCGAUGGAUAGGGGUUCUGAGAGGAAGGUCCCCCACAUUGGUACUGAGACACGGACCAAACUCCUACGGGAGGCAGCAGUGAGGAAUAUUGGUCAAUGGGCGAGAGCCUGAACCAGCCAAGUAGCGUGAAGGAUGAAGGUCCUAUGGAUUGUAAACUUCUUUUAUAGUAGAAUAAAGUGANCCACGUGUGGAUUUUUGUAUGUAUACUAUGAAUAAGGAUCGGCUAACUCCGUGCCAGCAGCCGCGGUAAUACGGAGGAUCCGAGCGUUAUCCGGAUUUAUUGGGUUUAAAGGGUGCGUAGGCGGAAUAAUAAGUCAGUUGUGAAAGUUUGCGGCUCAACCGUAAAAUUGCAGUUGAUACUGUUAUUCUUGAGUGUACAUAAGGUAGGCGGAAUUCGUGGUGUAGCGGUGAAAUGCUUAGAUAUCACGAAGAACUCCGAUUG